Molecule: long non-coding RNA, 3383 nt
Organism: Pleuronectes platessa (European plaice)
Lineage: Eukaryota; Metazoa; Chordata; Actinopteri; Pleuronectiformes; Pleuronectidae
Exons: 2
Source: RefSeq, a predicted model, not a curated record
AGCAGUCCCUACCGGCGUUUCUUUUAUCUCCAUGAUGAGGGUGACAUUUAGAAACCCGGUGUUAGCAAUGAUGUAGCGUGCAACGCUUUAACUGUAUCGUACAGACACUUGGCAUUGCCAGGUGAAAUGAAAACUAGUAUUCAUUGUUUUAUUUGUUUUGGCUGAGGUGCUGAAGUUUCCCUCCAGCACCUGGACAUUCAAAAUGGGAAGUCGCAUGGAUACUGCAGUUGCUAUCCUGGUAGCAAGUUAGUGUUAGCUAGCUAACUUAGUUCAUCUUAUCCCUAAAUUAAAGCUUAAUUAUGUGAUUCACUUAUAUUUCACCGUUCCAGAUGGUGUGGUGGUCUUCAGCGAACACCUAACUGUUUGUAUUACGGGGGGCGAUCACAUUGACUAGCUACAUAUGGUGCUUAAGGCUAAAACUUAGCAAUCACACUAAGCUAGCACGGCUAACGCUAUCCGUUGCAUAUGAAGUGAUAUGGCGGAGGCGAUAAUGAAAUUAACCCACCGACAAAGCCAGACGACCAGCUUUAGCUAGCUGCGGCAGACGUCGCUAGUUCGAUACUGACCUCUCAGCCGCUAGCAGCUAAUGCUAACUAGCAUUGUGUUCACUUCCAGGACGUUACCAUAUGUACAGACUCCACGUCAGAAAAAUGUGACAAUUUACGUUUGCUUCGCUUACUUGAAACUACAAAUACGACUCAGCAAACUCCCCCGAUCGACUAGGCUGCGUUUAUUUUGAAUUAACUGCCAACUUUCGGAACAAGUUCGCACUGUUCGGCAGGCAGUCGUCGUGGGGUUAGUCUGGAUUUCAAACCAGUCGUUUUUAAAAGUUAAUGUCUCCUGGAUAUAAACUCUACUUAGUUUAAAAUAUCCAUACCGAAUACAGGAUCAGGUUUGGCAAGUCACAACUGAGUAUAAACAAAGAGAUAACGUUGGAUUCAUUCACAUUUGCCCAUUGACCAUAGUCACAUUACAUUGUUGGAUGUUUUAACACAUUUUGACGUUGUUCCAUGCAAGAGUGGACGCACGUACAGGCGCUAGUAAAGAGUUAGCAUUAGUUAGCGGCUAACGGGACAGACAGCUAGCGGCUAGCUAGCCACCUUGUGUCGAAACGAACAAUCACGUUGAGGGGGGUGUCUUAAAAAUGUAAAACAUUCCUUACCUCCCACUCGGUACAUGUUAGCCGCCAUUCUCUCGUAACCUUUGUCAAAAAGAGUCCCGGGGUAUUCCCCGCUUGGGUAGAAAAUGGUCGAUGGUGAUCUAUUUUAUUCCUUCAUUUAUCGCAGACACCCCCGCCGCGAAACAAAGCCGGCUCCGGGCACAACAAGCCGAGCUGUGGCGGGUAAAAAGUUGAAAGUUUCCGCAAGAAACGUUCCAGAGGUGAAGCCAAAAAAUAAAUCGGUUUCCACACGGAUCAGAUAAAACAAGAAGACAAACAAAGAUUCCAUAAAUGAAAAAUCUCAUCUCAUCUCAUCGUCAUCCGCUUAUCCGGGGUCGGGUCGCGGGGGGAGCAGCUCAAGCAGGGGGCCCCAGACUUCCCUUUCCCGGGCCACAUUGACCAGCUCUGACGGGGGGAUCCCGAGGCGUUCCCAGGCCAGUGUUGAGAUAUAAUCUCUCCACCUAGUCCUGGGUCUUCCCCGAGGUCUCCUCCCCACUGGACGUACCUGAAACACCUCCCAAGGGAGGCGCCCAGUGGGCAUCCUUACCAGAUGCCCGAACCACCUAAAUGAAAAAUACAUAAAUAAAUAAAACGUUGUGCUACAUACUUGUUAUUUUUCCAGUCCCCACAUGUUAUUCUGUUCUCACCCCUCACAUUGAGGAGGUGAUAGCUGUAAAUUAUUGCAUUAAUUACUCAAAUAUAGCACGUCAAUACAAUUUUGAGGGACUUGUAUUUUUGAGGGACUGAUUUAGUUGAUUUUUAUGCUCCUAAACCCAUUACAUUUCAAAUGGAAGUAUUAUAUUUGUAUAUAAUUUACAAAACAUGAACACUUUAUAAAAUACAGUGCAUUGCUAUAUACGUAAGUCUACCUCAACCAGAUGCAGAAUUUGCCUAAUGCAUAUAAUCUUUAAAAGUGGCCACUCAGCAUGAUCAUACAUUUUUUUAUUCAUAAUAGUUAUAAUAUAUAAUAGUAUUUUACAUUGUAGUAUAGAUUAAUAAAAGGAUCCGAUUACUUGUUUGAUCACUGUUCAGGUUUAAGGGAUACUGACUGACUUCUCCUGUGAAAUGGCCUUUGUCAGCACAGUUUGAACUGAACGUUUCCAAACCCUUUUCACCAAUGGGGUUCAAUAUGAGCUCUUCUGGUCUGGGUCAUGAAGGGGAGGAACAUGUUUUUCCCUCCACAAACAGAAACAGCACAGCACAUUGUUCCUGGAGCAGCACUGCCCACUAGUGACACUUCACACACAAUACACUUUCCAGUCUGCAGAAGUUUAAUGGGAGCUUGACAGAUACAAUAUCACAGUCGUCUUAAUGUUCUUUUAAAUAUAUAUAAAACUGUACUUAAGUAAUCAUGUUCAAGUGUUACUAUCAACUGUAAGGAAAAUGAAUAAGUCAAAAUAGCUGAGGGUUGAUUUCAGUAUAAUAGGUUUGUCACAGUCUGUCUAAUGCAAAGUUAAAACCAGCUUCAGUAUUAGCUGAGAUGUCAACCAAACAGUUAAAAAUAUGAAAAUCAUGUUAAAAAAAACUUUAAGCAAACAUCUUGAUAAGCACAAUGGCCUAUACCACAGUCCACAGCUCUGGUUAAGUUUGGUAAGAAACAUCAAUGAAAACAUAGGAAUGUUCAACGAAGAACUGUUACUGAAUCAACCUGGACUCCUUUUCAAUGAGAACAUGCACCUCAUAAUCUUGUCUUUUCUAUAACUGUAAAUGCUGCUCAUCACACUACAAGUGCUGCUUUCUUUAAAUGCUAUUUACAGCCUGUGCAUGUACGUUACAUUACUUUCUAUGAAGUAUUUUUGCACUCUCUAUUAAUUUUUUGCACUAUUCCAGUUUGCACUUGUAUCAUCCUAGCCACAGUGUGCCUUUUGACUGUAUACUUUGUUGUAUUAUGAACUAUGUUUUGAGUACUUAAUAUGUUGCGUACUUAUAUGUUCUGUCUACUAAUAUGUUAACACCGGGGAUCAGAGAGAAACAGCAUUUCAAUCCCGUCUAUGUCCUGUACAUGUGACCGAAUUGACAAUAAACUUGAUACUGCAGAAGUCAUGUUCUGUACCAGCAAACAUACACAACCACUUCUCCUGAUCCUCACCAAAUAUCCAACAGAGUGACAGAUAAUCUGCGCAGUGAAAAGUAUCCCACAGUUCAGUUUCACAGGAAUUGACAUUGAUAUGGAGGCGUGCAAGUGGAAAGUGAAUAUGGCUGCUCCUCCUGAAGAGGAUUCCUC